This 29-nucleotide non-coding RNA is filed under the name Mus musculus (house mouse). Lineage: Eukaryota; Metazoa; Chordata; Mammalia; Rodentia; Muridae. The record is from RNAcentral.
UGGGCCAGCUCUAAAUAAGGUAAAGAUGG